AUGCUGAGUUGCUGUUAUCUUGUUGCAAUAUCAUUUCUUAUUGUUGCACAUCCGCUAGAACUUUUUGUAGUUGCCAGGGGAAGGAUCCGUGUCGAUGCUGACAGUGUUCAAAGGGUAUUUGAUCUCCCAAACAGGGGUCAAAAAGUCAGUUAUAAAGUUGACAAGGAUACAACUAGGAGAUUUAGAGAGACCUUCAACAUAAUUGGAACUUCUCAUCCCCAGAUCAGUACAUGGACCAAGAUGAUUGAGGAUAUGGCUGGAAGAACGGAUGACACAUUCUUUAUGGCCUGGCUUGCGGUUGCCUUUAGCACUUUCCUAGCACCAACCACAGCCUUGAAGCUCAGCCCAAAGUGUUACGGACUUGUGCUAGAUCAUGAAAUGAUCAAGAACACAAACAUCUGCCUCUUUGUAGCAGAACACAUUAACGAAGCUUUCCGGAACAUGGACCAGGAGAAGCAAACUGUCUGCUGCUGCUUGUAUCACUUGAUGAUACUAUACCUUGAUGCGCUUGUCCAUGACAUCCCAGUAAGCAACUGCGCGGUACGAUCGAAUGCAUGGGAUAGUGCUCUAAUUGUUAAGGUGAUCAAGAAGGAUACCAUCUCUCCUGGUGUGUUCGGCAAAUUACAACUUAAAGAGGAGUAUAGAGGCACGGAGCAGACGCCACUAUUUGGUGGAAUUUUGCAAGCUGAAGCAUUCAUGGCAUCCAAGUUACCAAUAACCUACAAUCCACAGAAAAAGGCAAAGAUUGCGAAAGUGGUCAAUGACCUGUGCAAGGCUGUAACUGAACAUGUUGGCACCUUUAUUGAAGCAGUUGCCAAGAUCGAUGACGAGGAACCGGAUAUUGAUCCGUACAGCAGCCAUCAAUGCAAACCGGGGCGUCACGCCGUGCUCCAAAAAGAAAGAGACGGGGAGGAUGAGGAGGACAAACAAGAAGAGGACAAAGGAGAGGAGGAGGAGGAGGAGAAAGAAGAUAGUGAGGCAGAGGAGGAGGAAGAAGAAGGUGAGGCCGAAGAGGAGGACGGGACAAAGGCGCAGCAGUUGAUGGCAGUGAGAGGGAAGAAGACGAUGAUAAAGAAGACGAGGACGGUUAUGGUGAUGAUGUUGGGGGAUCCAAUGGAGGUAGCGACAUCAGCGAUGAUGACGAUGAUGAAAACGCCCCUAGUUCUGGUGGAUUUGCCAAAGUCAAAGAAAAAUGACGAAGCAGAGUCUCAGGGCAGCAUUGAUACGUUCAAACUCUGCAACUUGAAGCUAGCUUUGGCAACCACCUUUCUUGUUCCAGAUUUUAGCGACCAAGAUAUGUGUGAGAAGAUCAACUUUGCCAUUGACAAGAGCCUGUUCUUAUCAAGUGUUGCUGAAAAGAAUCAAGUUGACAUGGAGGAAGCAGGAAAAGACCUAAGCUCCGGCAGGAGCAAGGCAGAAUCCAUGGCAAACCCUCACGUGGUCCAAAAGCGCAAAGCAGUUUCACUGAAGAAGAAUCUGCAGUUGCCUCAAACCAAGGAGAAGAUGGUGAGUGCAGAUGCUGAAGUAAAUAUGGUCAAGGAAGCUGUGCUUCAAACUGAUACGUCAACUAUAGUGAGCAGAGAGCCAACCACCAUCACAGGAGUUCAACAGAUCAAGGGGAAGACUCCCCUUUCAAUAGUCCCACCAAAACCACCUAAGCAGCAAAAGAUUGUCAAGUUUGCCAGGGGCACAAAGGGGGAACAUGCCACAAAAGGUUUGGGGUUCAGAGACGAGAGAGAACCGCGAGCCAAAGCCAUUGAUGCAGGGGUGCCAAGUUCUGCUAGGUUGCUGCCAACUCAGACUGGGAAGAUGCCAACUAGAGAUACCAAUGUGCCAACUGAUGUGUCAGCUAGCAGUGUGAUCACAGUCAAAACCACCACAGCUGCUCAGGAAGGCACCACUGCAACUGCAAGCCCCAAGGUGCCUACUCAUAGAGAUGCUUCAAUGCCAAACACAAAAGGAGGUGAUCCUACUACCAAAUUGCCGUCCCCAAGAGCCAGCACACAGCAGCCAAGCAAGCCUGCAUCACCAAGAUCUGACUUUCAGCAACCACUAACACAAGCGGAGGUGUUCAACAAUAUAAGUAGGUGCAAGCCUCCAAGGCCGCCAACUACAACACUACUGCGAACCAAGUUAGUGAAUGAUGCACAUGUGUUUGUGCCGCAAGGAGAUGCCCUGGUCCUUGAACCCAUACAAAGAUCAAAGUCCUAUCAUGGUGACGGGGUCUGCGAUGCACCAUCUUUUGAUCUCGGCAUAGAUGGUCAUGCUCCAGCACCUGGUCCAGCAGCAGAAACAGCGGAAGCCGGUGUGAUUCGUAUUGAUGAGUUUGAGUUGGACCCAGCAGCUAUGAAUGAAGGAUGCGCUGCUACUGAUGCUGGCACGGCAAUAGCUCAAGAGCUAGAUGUUGGAUCACCAGAGAAUUGCCACACCCCGAUAUGCGCAGAACCAGAAGCUGGCACGAGCAGUUCUUUAGGACCACCUAUUGCACGAAGACAGAGGAGGGUAAUAAGGCCCGCAGCAUCUCAAAGGUCUCCAUUCAUUGACUACAACAAGAAGAAGACUUUCAGCUCCAAUGAGGCAGUGAACAAGCUUUACACUGCCCUCUUGUAUUGGGUCAGGCAUCAUGAAGGAGAAAAUGAUGAAGCUACCAGCCCUGAGAUAAUCAGGUAUGGUGCUUUCUACAUUUCUUUAAAGGAGUUAGUUGAUUCGAUGAAGCUAGUUCAAUGGUUGUCAAAAAUUGUUAUUGAGACUGGAAUCUUACACAUCAUGGAUAACUUACCAGAAGGGUCAAAGAAGGUUGUUAUGCCACUGAGGUUUUCGAUGAAUUUACAGCAAGGGAUCCACAACGUGAAGGAGAUAAACAAGAAGUUUGAUUACAAGAACCGUCUCAACAAGAAGGACUUGGUCAUGCUGCCAGUGCUCGAGUGCACUGAUGUAACCGAUAAGGAGGGAGGGAGGCAUUAUUGGGUCUUCAAUGUCAAUUUGAGGGACGGACGCUUCGAAGUUCUUGAUUCAAGCAGGACGCUGGAUGACAUUGAGCUGAUGACCACCGCCUCUACCAUCGUGGGGGCAGUACGCCAGCUAUGGAGGAAGCAUUACCCAAAGUUCAGCAUCGAGCACUUCCAGAUUAUUGACAUUGCCGUACCGAAGCAGCUCGGCAAUAAUGAGUGUGGGCUGUUCGCACUGCUUAACGCCACCGAGUGGAACGGUAGCCAACUGCCCAACUACGAUCCCAAGGAAGUACUAAACAUCAGGAAGAAGCUGGCAUAUGAUUGGGUCACCAGCACGCACAACACCGCCCCAUGGAGGAAGUUGCUGAGAUAUGAGAAGGACUAG
RNAcentral lists this ribosomal RNA (3336 nucleotides) under Triticum aestivum (bread wheat). Its description in RNAcentral is "partial small subunit ribosomal RNA". Lineage: Eukaryota; Viridiplantae; Streptophyta; Magnoliopsida; Poales; Poaceae. The record is from RNAcentral.